UGCUCAACGCAGCCACCGCCGCUUGCCGAGAUAGGUGUCUACAGAAGCAGGAGUGCACAUACUCUCGUGCAAGCACCACCACCACCACCCAACAGCGACACCACAGCAGCCAUACAUCGAAGCAACCAAACAACAGCCACCCACCCCUCCGCGCAAACUCGGCUGAAAGCACCGUCGUCAUCGGCAUCUCCCUCGCUCGCUCUCGCCCUGUCAUUGCGUGGGUGUCGGUUCUUCGCGUGCACUGGAGGGACACGAAACGACGAACGGGCCGCAGGAAAGACACGACACGGCAAGGUGCUUGUGUGCGCAGGCUCGUCGCGCAUCACAGUGCGCCCAAACUCCCGUCGAUCGCUCGCUCUCUCCCUCUGACCCCUCUCCCUCCUCAAGAAACAGCGCCGUGGACCAUGUCGACAUCGGACUCGUCUGUGCUGAAGAAGCAGCGCGCAAGGAUCGCCUGGCUGGAGGCGUCCCUGGAUACGAGCAUUGUCGCCUACGAGUCUCACCGCAACGCGCUCGAAAACGUCUACGCGUAUCUGGCGAAGUGGCAGCAGUCGCCUGGCGAGGGGUGCAUCCACAUUAGCCCAGCAGCGUUAAGUGAGCUGCUGAACGACAUCGACGAUGUGCUGGAGCAGUGCGCGCUUCGGCUGCAGCCCAUAGACGGCGCAACGCCAGCCGCAGAUUCGCCGACGGAGCAAGCACACUCGGAACACUGCUUCAGGGGCGCGCAUCUCUAUCCUGACAACGCCCGCGGAACGCGUCGGAACAAGGCAGUGCCCGCCCCACCACAGCAGCAGCCCCAGAUGACCUCGCGGUCUGUCUCGGAGCUGUCGAGGGGGAGCCGCCCACGCGGGGCAGAGGACGAUCUGCAUGAGGCAUCGACGGCGACGACGGAGAGCAGGCAGCACCAACAGCCGAAGCCGGUGUUGCAGUACCGCCCGCUGUCAUCGUCACGCUCCCGCACGUCGUCUGUGCUACCGGCGAUGAACGAGAGAGAGGCUGCAGCAGUGCAGCCCGUGUACACGACGAGCGCCGACUCAACGCCGCCGCCGUCGCAGGCGGUGGCCGGCUCGUGGAAGCCUCAGCCGAGGCCUCGCGCGCAGCCUCGCGACCGGAUGGGUGUGGCACUGACGCCGUGGCCCAUCAUGGACGACAGACAGCAGCCAAGUGGCACCGCAGCCGGUCCGGUAGAUCGCACUCGAAGUGACCCGACGCCGCCGUCGGCCCGCCUGCGAGCGGAGGAGAACCACGAUGAGCUGCCCGCACCGCAGUACAGCUCUUACAAGAGAACCGGGCGUCCGCUACUGCCCUCGCCGGAGCGGCGCGCGGCCGCGGAAGAGCUCGCGGAACUCGCGGCGGCCGAGGAGGAAGCAAAGGCGAGUAGCGCAUACCAGCAGUCUUUCGGCGGGUGCAGCCACAGCCGCGAGAGCGAACGCAACUGUGUCAGCGCCGGGCAUCGCUGGCCAUCCCCUUCCUCCUCGCUGACGUCGGCGUCGCAUCAGCUGCCGCCCCCACCGCCUCUGCAGGGGGAACAACACGGCCAAAGUUACUGGAGCGAGGAGCAAGACAUCCCAUAUCGUCGGGGCUCCUCGGCAGCUGGCGAGCACCGCAGCAGCAACACGGGCGCCGGCAGCCACGUCGGCUCGGGCCGCUCUGGCCUGUCUGAGGAGGGCCCAUACGCUGGCAUUGCACCAGCAGCCGCGAGUGGGCACCGGGCGGCGGCGGCGGUCACCUCCCACCACUCGCACCCGGCGCCGUCGCACCAGCAAAGCAGCGCCGGUGGUCGUGCUCUCAGUCGGACAUCCAGCACCCUCAAGGGCAGUCCCUCGGAUGCCGCGGUGGCAGCCCUGGAGUCGCUAUCUUACGCGUCGUCCUGUGCCCCGCACCGUCCUGGCCAACCACGCGGCGGCGCAGCCGGAGCAGCAGCAAUGUACGCAGGCCAUCCCGUGGAGGCGUCGCAGGCAGGCAGCCUUGGUCUUGUCUACACUCCCAGUGUGACGCCACAGCGGGACUCGGACAACGGGGCGGCGGUAACGGCCCCGCAGCAGCUCAGUGAGCGCCGCCGCCUGCGCACUUACAGCCAGCGGCCCAUCGCCCCGAAAACGAACGACAGCAGCCAGGUCGAGUCCACCGUGUAUCAUCGUCGUACGUUGUCGCCGUCUGCAGGCCGGAAGCCUUUGCGGGCCGACUCGCCAGAGACGCUGCGCUUUAUGGAAAGGGAAGACGCCUUCCUCGAGAAGCAGCGGCAAAAGUUGCUGGGGGAGGAGCACCGCGACCCUCUCCAACCGCAAAACAACGCUGGCGCCACGCUUUACAUCACGGCUAAUCCUGGUGGUCAGCCCGUCGCGAACGGCGGCAAGGCUGUCAAGGAGGCGGCGCCGGAAAUGACGGCCGUCGAGGAGCAGCUCAUCGCCGAGCACACGAUCUUGCGCACGCAGCUCGAAAAGAUGCAGAUGGAGAUGUCCAUUGCGGUCGCGCGACACCGUGAGCGCGGAAACGAGCAGCGCUACACGCAGCUGAACACGCGCAUGAAGCGCGUGAUGAAGGACUUGGACAGGGUAGAGUGGGAGCUGCGCGUCGUGCGCAAUAUUGAUCGCCAGUCCCGCUCACAGUCUCCCGCGAGCGGCAUAUAGAGCCGCAGCUGGGACGCUUGGUGCCGAACGCACCGGCACCGGUAACCGCUGGGAGAAGGCGAAGGGCGGGCAGAGUCGUGAAGGCGGGUAUGAUGCUUCUGAUGGGGAGGGUGUGGACCGAGUACGGCGACGAUGGUGACCGGCACUGAUGCAUUAUGUGUUAUGUGUGUGGGUGUGCACCUUUUUGUCUGCCUCUCUCCCGCUCUCCGCGCAUGGGACGCGCGCCUGCGGGCUGAAGGAGCGGGAGGAGGGGGGGUUACUCACCAGCUCCAGGGACAGCACGUCACAUGACAUCAUACACGCCCGCAGUGAAGUCUCUCUGUGUGCCUCGUACUCUUUUCCAGCCUUGCUGCUGCUGCUGCUGUUUCUCCAAGAGCGCCCUUUCUCAGGCAUGACCCCUUUCUGCACGCCGCAUACCCACGCGUCGCCCUGGCCAUUGCCGUUGAUCGGUGGGGUUGUCGUGUCUCCUCCUCUCCGCGCCCACCACCGCCAACGCUCUCUCUGCUGCUCCCGCCCAUUGGCAUUACUAUUAUUUCUGCUUGCCUUUCUCUCUCACUUGCCCCCCUCCCGUGUGUGUGUGUUCGUCUGCGUUUGGGUGUCUUGCGCGUGCGCGCCAAGUCACCGCCUUCCUCAUCAUCUCCUAUGCUGAUGUUCACCACACUCGCCCACACACACGAAUGCAGGUUCCUCCUCCUCUUCUCCAUCUCUCCUCGUCCUCCGCUUGAUCUCCUCUCGAAACAUCGUCGCUGCUUUUCAGUUGUACUCCUCUUCCUCCCUAUACAUUAUAUAUAUAUAUAUAUAUAUGUGUGUGUGUGUGUAUGCAUGUGUCUGUAUGUGUACGUCUGUGUGUCUGUGCGUGUGCGUGGAUCUUGUUACUGUCUUCUCUUGCUAGCGCUGUCCCCUCCCCCUCCCUCGUCUCUGUUCAUGCGUGCGUGUGCGUGACUCGGUGCAAGUCUGCUUGUGCUGGUGUGCACGGGUGAGCAUGCGCGCGCACGCGCGUUCGUUUCUGUCCUCCUGUACGCUUCUGUUUGCAACCUUUAAACCAGAUCGACGCACGCCCUCCACCCCUACCCCAUUUCACGCCCCACCCCUCUACUUGGACAGCUUUCGCUGCCUCUCACCGCCACCACCACACCUUUCCUUCAAGCGACGGGAGUGCCAGACGCUAGUGCUGCUGCUGCUGGUGGUAAUGGCAACGCCACACGCGGGGCAGACCUCCUGCGUGUGGCGAGGUCAUCCUGGCGGGAAAGGCGCGCUCUCCCUCGCCCCUCAUCGCCCUUCGCGCUUUUCGCGCUGGUGAGCAAGGGAUUAUCAAAGGACAUGAUCCGCAUCGGUUUUGUUCGUCGCCACGGCCUCGCCUCGAACCUCAUCGUCGCCGUCAGGGUCUCUCUCUUCUUCCCUCCCUCUCUUCCGCACGGCUCUUCGCGCGACUUUUCACCGUCCUCACGCAACUGCACUGCACCCAC
RNAcentral lists this unclassified non-coding RNA (4096 nucleotides) under Leishmania donovani. RNAcentral describes it as "gene:LdHU3.05.0820(CDS-product:hypothetical_prote in_conserved)". Lineage: Eukaryota; Euglenozoa; Kinetoplastea; Trypanosomatida; Trypanosomatidae. The record is from RNAcentral.